CCUGCUUCUAUGAAUUGCGUAAGACCAAAUAGACCAUUUAAAAAAAAAAAAUAUUCCUCAAAUGUCUGACCAAAGGCGCAAGUAUAUGGCUGAAAGAUCCUGUCAUAUGCUGAAGAUAGAAAUGAGUUUUUCUAAUUUUUCUACAUCUACUUAAUAAGAAAAAUGUUUUCAAUACUUAAUGGAAGCCUAUUAGCUAUGGUGUGUUAUUCAAC
Pelobates cultripes (western spadefoot toad) is the source of this 212-nucleotide non-coding RNA. The record is from the annotation of a GenBank genome assembly. Lineage: Eukaryota; Metazoa; Chordata; Amphibia; Anura; Pelobatidae.